ACCUCUACAAAUCAUAUUAACAAGCACCAAGUUCUUAUGCGAACACAAGAGGAACUCGGUUCACUCAAGCACUCACGUUUCUAGCCGUUUCACAACACAAGUGUAACCUUUCACUUAUGAUGUUCAAAGUUGGCGGUCUACUCUCUUCUUGAGAGGAAAAUGGUGUUUUAAUGUUACAAUCUUCAUUCAAAAAUAAUCUAACUAAGCAAAUAAGACUAAGGGGUUCCUACUUAUAGCCUAUUACAAAAGAGAUGGGAAAUGACACCUUUACCCAUAAUGAAGGGGGUAGGUUUGGAGUGUAUAAAUAGGGAUUCCGUGUAGUAUUUUUAAGACACUCAAGGCAUGUCUUCACACUUUAAUACAUACACUUCCUUGGACGAACUUAAGACAUGCCCAAACACAUCCAUCUUUAUGAAGGUGACUUGAAGAUGUUGUAGUUCCUCAUUUUGGCUCCUAGGGAAUGGUCUUGAGCUCUUGAUGCCCAUUUUCCACUCUUUUGGAAAGGCCUUCAUACUCUUCCCUCUUGUUGGAUAUGGUUGGAGUAUGGCUUCUUAUGCUUGUACCCUUUUUGCACUCAUAUCACUUAUAAUCCUUGUGCUCUUUACGCUUGUAUCAUCCUCUCCAUCUUGAAAGAAAUUUGUCCUCAAAUUUACACCUUACAAAACCAAAGAGAGGGAAAACAAGCACACAAUCCUCAUGGUAUGAGGGUUAGCAUUAGUGUCACAAAUUAUAUAAUCACACCUAGGGGGUACACCUUUAGAAUAAUCCAACAAUCCUUUGUUAUGAUCAUGAAAUACUUACUACAAGAAUCACAAAGGACUUGGCGAAGAUAGACAUCAAGGGAAGAGGAAUGCAACCCGAAACCAUCAUAUAUAUCAAUAAGCCAAGGUUGUUCACAUUUGAAAGACAACCACGGGUCCUUUGUCUGUGACAUGAAAAGCUUAGCAUGAAUGGCACAAAGGAUGUAGUUUUGGAAAAUACCAAGAGAUAAGGAAACUACAAUGAUCUUGAUGGACUUACUAUACCCAAAAGGUAAGACUACCUUUGACUUAGGAACUAAGAUACAUUUGUUUCAUUACCUCUACAAAGGACCUCAUCAAAUAUGGUUCCACUAUUAAUCCUAAGGUCCACCUUACCCACAUAUCUUUAUCAUUCAAAAAAAUAAACCAACCACCAAAUUUACUACCACUACACAGUAUAAAUUCAAAAUUAACAUGGUUAUCAUCAUAGGUAAAGAGGUAGUAUAGAAAGGAAUCAAGUGUGAAGACAUCUUGCCGAGGGGGUACACUUUUAAAAGACAACCAGCAAUCCUUUAUUUUUUUCAUGAAACACGUAGUUUGAAUAUUAAAAAGAUAGGGAUAAGAUAAUCCUCAAGGAAAGAUAAGCAUAAGUCGAGGCAACCUCUUUUUCAACCCACUAGUGUUCCAAGAUCAAAGGGAUGGUGUAACCAAGGGUAUAAGCCGAGAUUACCGAAUCCUUUUACUAGCAAAUCAUCCAAGACUAAAGAGUUGUGACCUAGAAGUAUUCUAUUAAGAGAAAGCACACCUUUAUUCACAAGUUUUCCAAGCAUAUGAUUAUCUUAAGCAAAACUAGUAGCACGGUUUGCAUCACACAAGCUCAAAGGGAUAUGUCUAAUAUCAUGGUCAAUAUUACAAGAAUGAAGACUAGCUUGAGGAUUUUGAAUCACAUCACUCACAUGAUCAAGUAGUGAACUAUCCUUAAGAGUAAAUUGACCAAAAUAUGCAAUAAGAGAACUACCAAGGAAAGAUUCAUGCUUUUCUACACUAUGUAAACCUGAAGCUACUUUACAUUGGCUACUACUAGCCUUAUCACAACAUUUCAAGCCUAAGGAAGUGUACAGUUUAGCAAUGAUACCUUGGUGUAUGCCACAACAGCCAACUUGUUUGGAGCUCUCGACCAAGGGUGUCACUAUCUCAUUUCCCAUGUUCUUGUGUGGAACCCCUUUUUGAUCUUUCUUUGAUAGAAUAUGAACUUGAACCUGUACAUAAGAAGGAUCAAUUCUAGGAAAAGUGCCAGCAUUUGGGUCAGUGAGUAUCAAAGAUCCUUUGUGGGAAAAUCCCACAAGCAUAUUUUUCUUUCCUUUUCCUACUUCACUACCUGCGAUUUUCCUUUCCCUCACCCUUUUUUCUUCACAUUCUUAUUGUAUCUCACCACUAAGUUCCUAUCCAUCUUGAGGAUUAGCCUCAUUCUCCUUGGAUCCUAGUUCUCCCUCUUUUUCUACUUGGAUGGGGUGUUUUCGGGUUAGUGUAGUUUGGGAAGGAGACAUUGGAUUUAGUGGAGUGUAGGGUCUUUGAAUGGGAGGAUUUUGGAGUGGAGGAUUCAGGUUUAGGGAUGGAAUAUGGGUUCCAAGUCCUCCUUGUGGAACUUAGUGGAGUGAGGAACUGCUAGGUCCAUCUUGUUCUCGGCUUUGGGAGUAAAGAUUGACUUGGUUUGUAGCACUUGGUGGAUACAAUAUUUGGUGUAAGGUCUCAGGGGUAAUAGUAGGUGAGGUGUUUUAAGGGGUAUGAGGUCCAGAACUCCUUUGGCUUUCCACCCUCUCAAACCUUUCACUCGUUGAGGCCACAUCCGAACCCAACUUCUCAACAUUUGCCUUCAUCCUAGCCACGCCUCGAGACAAAGUUUCAAGACUAGCUAAGAGAACAUUCAUAGCAUUAUUGCCCAUGGUUGGAGCAUUGGAAUUUUUGGGUUCCAUUUGAAAUUGUACCUACAAAACAAGCAAAUGUUAGUUCAAAAUAAGCUCACACAUUCUUCACACUCGGCUUCCUCACUUGGUUCUUCAAGUGUUGUAAGCCGGCUAUCAACUUGUGAGAACUUGGGAAUGAGUCUAUUCUUGAGUUGGAGUGGAUUUCGGUUUGAAGACUCAAAGAAGUUUUGUGCACACUUGAACAAAAAACAACGACGAAUUAUAAACGAGCAAAGCACCACAAGUAACGCUUAACACGAAAGAAGUACUCAAAAACUAGUUCACAACUUAGUAGGUUGUUACUAGUUGUCAACUAGCAUAGGAGUCAAUAAAAAUGAAACUAAUAGAGACAAGGAAAGAAACUACGAAUCUCCUAUGACUUGAGUUUUGAUGUUGGUGUGGACCACGUUUCUUUUUCUUUUUGGCCGUUUGAAUUUGUUGUUGAAGUGGAGUAUGAUGGUUUUUUUUUCAAGACUUAAAGGGUUCAAUCUUGUUUGUU
Molecule: long non-coding RNA, 3203 nt
Filed under: Capsicum annuum
Lineage: Eukaryota; Viridiplantae; Streptophyta; Magnoliopsida; Solanales; Solanaceae
Description: long non-coding RNA (CANN_LNC003524)
Source: RNAcentral